GACGAACGCUGGCGGCGUGCUUAACACAUGCAAGUCGAGCGGUAAGGCCCUUUCGGGGGUACACGAGCGGCGAACGGGUGAGUAACACGUGGGUGACCUGCCCUCAGCUCUGGGAUAAGCCUGGGAAACUGGGUCUAAUACUGGAUAUGACUCCACGGUGCAUGUCGUGGGGUGGAAAGCCUUGUGCGGCUGAGGAUGGGCCCGCGGCCUAUCAGCUUGUUGGUGGGGUGAGGCCUACCAAGGCGACGACGGGUAGCCGGCCUGAGAGGGCGACCGGCCACACUGGGACUGAGACACGGCCCAGACUCCUACGGGAGGCAGCAGUGGGGAAUCUUGCGCAAUGGGCGAAAGCCUGACGCAGCAACGCCGCGUGGGGACG
Molecule: ribosomal RNA, 379 nt
Filed under: uncultured bacterium
Lineage: Bacteria
Description: bacterial SSU rRNA
Rfam family: Bacterial small subunit ribosomal RNA
Source: RNAcentral